Molecule: long non-coding RNA, 2397 nt
Organism: Triticum aestivum (bread wheat)
Lineage: Eukaryota; Viridiplantae; Streptophyta; Magnoliopsida; Poales; Poaceae
Exons: 2
Source: RefSeq, a predicted model, not a curated record
UCUCCAUAUAACGAGCUUCUUGCAGCCUCCCAGGCAGAAGUGAACGCGCCGCCGCCGCCUGGAAUUGACCGGCGACCACUACCCCCAGCACCGGCAGCCUCUCCUCGCAACGGCAGGCAACCCCAACUCCCCAAAUCCAGCAGCCUCUCCUCAAUCUCUUCAUCUCUUUUAUUCAGAUUUUCCUCCAUUGAGCUGCUGGCUGCCGCGUGCUGCUGUUUGCUACGGUGCUACCCAUGUUGUGCUGCUCUUUGAAUGCUUGUGCUGCUUGUUGUUAGGUAGCAUGGCAUCUGGGAGCGCCACAACUGGUACAGGUAGCCAAUCGUCCAUGGGUGAGAGUGAAGGGCAGCCUGGUUCUGGUGUUUUAGAUCCCAAGUAUCUUGUGUGAUCUUCUUCGGUCUCUAAUACUAGACUAGCGUUUGAUGUAUUUUGCAAGAUGCAACUUGCAAUGACAUGGGACUAUGGGGAGAUCAAUCAAGUAUUUGAUAAUGGAGACACCAACUGGGACAGUAUUAUGAUAUCUUUCUCAUUAUUAUUUUUGUCUUUGACUCUAUAUUACAUUGCAUAUUAUUUUAUUUUAUUUUAUACAUAUUCGCCACAUUCCCAAAUGGCUGUUUUUGGAAAAUGCCGUAUCCUGUGUCACCAUAUGUGUAUCGCCAUGUCCCCAUCCCCGUUUCUGUGCUUCUUAGGUAAAGUGCAAAGUUUGCAGCAACUGGUCACUAAUGCACUAGUGUACACAAAGGUUUUUCAACAGGAGACUAUGAGAGAAGAAAAAAGGACCAACACAAAAACACAUAUCAUUAUUUCACGAGGUUACUAGCUAGAAGACGGUAUCCAGCAGCUUGACACUUAACCUUUCUGCUUCCCGUUUACAAUUAAUGCUAGAGUCGCUUUUGAUGCAACAAGACCAUGCAGUGAGCAAUACCGUUUACUAUUUCCAUGUAUCCCAAAUGUCAGGUCGCAUGGAUUGACAAGGUAAAUGGAUAUUGUCAAGAAUACAGUACGGAGGGUAGUUGUUUCUUUACUAGAACAAAACAUUAGCACAAAUACAACCAGAGUUGGACAAAUUUAUUGACCCUUUGAACUUACUAGCGAGGCACUCACUAGCAGUAUAGCUACAGUGCACUUUCACCUUUCAUCACUAUAUCUUCUAACAUACGUAUAAGCUACAAUUUUAGGCUACUCACUGGAACUGCUAAUUAACUGACACAGUACUAGCUACAGUUCUUGCCGUGCAGUGCUUAGCAGGAUAAAACACAGCUGAGGACUGAGUCCAACCAUUUGAUCCAGGUGAUUCAUAACUAGAUGCUUGGAGUUCAGGUCCUCACGUUAUUUUUUUUAAAAAGGCAAAUCAUCAGAGCCUUAAAUCAUUCAAGUCUUGAAGGGUUACUCAAAGGGUCAUCCAGAGAAGCACCGCGGCAGCGAUUAAAUAACUUCUGUUGCACAUUCCACACUCUCACCUUUUACCUACUACAAAUUGUGGUGGGAAUCAACCUCUGAAGCAGCUAGGAUACUUGGCUCAGUAGCAUGCUAUAGGUGAAGGAAGUGAUUGCUGGAAGCCUGGAACUACCUAGGUGAAACUGAGAAUCAAUUCAACAUGCAUAAAGCAAACAUGCACCCAAAAUCCACGAGGUUAUCUAUUUAAUUUGUUCCUUUGUUUCAAAUAUUUUAUUCCAUGCUUUCUACUUGAUUCAAGCACACGAAGUGUGAUAAGUUCUCAUAUGCUAAUGAGCAGCUAUGCCUCAGGGGAUCAUAGUUCUGCGCUUCUAGGACGUCGGAGUUUUUAGCAGAGACUGUUAAUGUCAGAAUGUGAGAAGUGUGAACUUUCACCCAUGACUGUGAACCCCAGGUUGGGAAGCUCGUGUUCAUUUCCGAUACCAAUUAGUUCCUUAUCUAAUAUUUAAAAAAUCAGUUAUCCCUGCCAUUCUGUUUUCUUGGUAAAUCGGCGCAAUAUGAUAUUCUUGUGCGUGCUUGCUAAGUGUGCCUUCAUACUCAUUCUUGCUUAUCUGAUUUUGGCAGCAAACAUCAGUGAUGGUCAUAAACUAAUGAUGGUGGGCAGUAGGUUUAGCACCAGUGGCGGUGCCAGCACCAAACAUCUGUGGUUCAAGUGCAGUAAUCUUUCUAAAAUGCCCUAAUUUGUUGCACAAAUAUGAACAGAACUAAGCAUGCAACCGAAAAAGCUGUGGGGUCAGCUGACCCCACAGCUUACACGUAGAAUCGCCAUUGUUUAGCACCAUGGGAGGGAAAUUAUAAAAUUUAUUUUUGGAGACUAGUGUGUGGGGAAAACGAUGAUCGUUAACGAACAUGUACAAAUUUUAGCCUGGCAUGUUUAUGAUGUUGGGCUUAUAAAUGUGUGACGGCUAUUAUGUCGAACCCCUGUUUUAGGGGUGUGACAUCACA